Molecule: ribosomal RNA, 1053 nt
Filed under: Salmonella enterica subsp. enterica serovar Bareilly
Lineage: Bacteria; Pseudomonadati; Pseudomonadota; Gammaproteobacteria; Enterobacterales; Enterobacteriaceae
Description: partial 23S ribosomal RNA
Rfam family: Bacterial large subunit ribosomal RNA
Source: RNAcentral
CGUUAUAACCGGCGAUUUCCGAAUGGGGAAACCCAGUGUGAUUCGUCACACUAUCAUUAACUGAAUCCAUAGGUUAAUGAGGCGAACCGGGGGAACUGAAACAUCUAAGUACCCCGAGGAAAAGAAAUCAACCGAGAUUCCCCCAGUAGCGGCGAGCGAACGGGGAGGAGCCCAGAGCCUGAAUCAGCAUGUGUGUUAGUGGAAGCGUCUGGAAAGGCGCGCGAUACAGGGUGACAGCCCCGUACACAAAAGCGCAUGUGCUGUGAGCUCGAUGAGUAGGGCGGGACACGUGGUAUCCUGUCUGAAUAUGGGGGGACCAUCCUCCAAGGCUAAAUACUCCUGACUGACCGAUAGUGAACCAGUACCGUGAGGGAAAGGCGAAAAGAACCCCGGCGAGGGGAGUGAAAAAGAACCUGAAACCGUGUACGUACAAGCAGUGGGAGCACCCUUUUGGGUGUGACUGCGUACCUUUUGUAUAAUGGGUCAGCGACUUAUAUUCUGUAGCAAGGUUAACCGAAUAGGGGAGCCGGAGGGAAACCGAGUCUUAAUUGGGCGUUAAGUUGCAGGGUAUAGACCCGAAACCCGGUGAUCUAGCCAUGGGCAGGUUGAAGGUUGGGUAACACUAACUGGAGGACCGAACCGACUAAUGUUGAAAAAUUAGCGGAUGACCUGUGGCUGGGGGUGAAAGGCCAAUCAAACCGGGAGAUAGCUGGUUCUCCCCGAAAGCUAUUUAGGUAGCGCCUCGUGAAUUCAUCUCCGGGGGUAGAGCACUGUUUCGGCUAGGGGGCCAUCCCGGCUUACCAACCCGAUGCAAACUGCGAAUACCGGAGAAUGUUAUCACGGGAGACACACGGCGGGUGCUAACGUCCGUCGUGAAGAGGGAAACAACCCAGACCGCCAGCUAAGGUCCCAAAGUCAUGGUUAAGUGGGAAACGAUGUGGGAAGGCCCAGACAGCCAGGAUGUUGGCUUAGAAGCAGCCAUCAUUUAAAGAAAGCGUAAUAGCUCACUGGUCGAGUCGGCCUGCGCGGAAGAUGUAACGGGGCUAAACCAUG